UUUUUUAACAGACGUUAGUAGAUAGCUACUUGUAAUCAAUGUAUAUUUUCUAACUCAAUGGUCUAAGCAAAUUCAACUAUUUAUUAUCAGGCUUAAUUUAACUAAAUUAUUAAAUCGUACGCACAACUAGUGAGAGUCUAAGUGCGGAAACUGAGUCCACCAACAUUUUUACUCUGUCUUUAAUCGUUAGCAUCGAAAAAGCCAUUGAAAUUUAAAAAAAAAUUUUUACUUCUAUUAUGUCGCUAUUUACAGCCCUGAAUUCUCCACAACGAGAAACUGCUGAAAAAGUAUACUCCAAAGCACCACCCUCUCCAGAACUUACCAUUGAAUAUGUUCGGUUGAGGAAUGAUGACGAUGUAUUGACAGAUCCUGAAACACUAGAAAAUCAUAUCAAGGCACUCAGAGCGGAAAGUGAGGCGAAAAAAAAGCAAAGUCGUGUAGAUGACGACAUAUCUACUGACGAAUUGGAAGAAAAUGAUGCAACCGACCCAGCCAACAGGACCACAGACAAUUCUUCUCCAAAAACCAGACCAGCAACCAGAUAAACAAACCAUUCUAGUACAGCAACCCGGGCAGCAAUUACAGUCAAACCAGCCAGGGAUAAUGGUUCAACAACCUAUUCAGUCAAUGUCGAAUAGCAAUCAAGGCAAUGUAAUCACGCUUGUACCCAAUCAAAGUAGUGGCCAAAUAUUAAUUCCAAUUCAACAAGGAAAAUAGUAUGUCUAAAUUAAUUGUUUGAAUAAUAAAAGACUAAUUCGUAAA
Long non-coding RNA from Pieris napi, 762 nucleotides. RefSeq lists it as uncharacterized. Lineage: Eukaryota; Metazoa; Arthropoda; Insecta; Lepidoptera; Pieridae. The transcript is spliced from 2 exons. The record is from RefSeq and is a predicted model, not a curated record.